Long non-coding RNA from Juglans microcarpa x Juglans regia, 133 nucleotides. RefSeq lists it as uncharacterized. The record is from RefSeq and is a predicted model, not a curated record. The transcript has 2 exons. Lineage: Eukaryota; Viridiplantae; Streptophyta; Magnoliopsida; Fagales; Juglandaceae.
AACAUAAAACACAGAGAGAGAGAGAGAGAGAGAGAGAGAGAGAGAGAGACCAAAGAGAGAGAGAGAGAGAGAGAGAGAGAGAGAGAAUCCAAAACCAGUUGCCUGAAAUCACCGCAAAAGACCCAACACUAUU